This is a long non-coding RNA of Magnolia sinica, 412 nucleotides long. RefSeq lists it as uncharacterized. The transcript is spliced from 3 exons. The record is from RefSeq and is a predicted model, not a curated record. NCBI's taxonomy places the organism in Eukaryota, Viridiplantae, Streptophyta, Magnoliopsida, Magnoliales, Magnoliaceae.
AUUGGGUUUACGUUUGAGUUUUCAAGUUUAGGUUUAGGUUUAGGUUUAGGUUAGGGAGUUGAGAUUAGGAUUAGGUGUAGGUUUAGGUUUAGGAAUUUGAAAAUACGUUAAGGUUUAGGUUUAGGAAAUCGGGUUUGGGUUAUAGGUUUAGGUUUAGGUUUAGGUUAGGUUAUAGGUUAAGGUUUAGGAAAUUGAGUUUAGGUUAUAGGUUUAGGUUAUAAGUUAAGGUUAUAGGUUAAGGUUUAGGUUAUAGGUUAAGUUUUAGGUUUAGGUUAAGGUUAUAAGUUUAGGUUUAGGUUUAGUUUAUAGGUUUUGAGAUUUGAGAAUAGGUUUAGGUUAAGGUUAUAAGUUUAGGUUUAGGAAAUCGGGUUCGGGUUUAGGAUCGGGUUUAGGUUUGGGUUUUCAAGUUUAG